Molecule: ribosomal RNA, 2537 nt
Filed under: human gut metagenome
Description: bacterial LSU rRNA
Rfam family: Bacterial large subunit ribosomal RNA
Source: RNAcentral
AGCGUACACGGUGGAUGCCCUGGCAGUCAGAGGCGAUGAAGGACGUGCUAAUCUGCGAUAAGCGUCGGUAAGGUGAUAUGAACCGUUAUAACCGGCGAUUUCCGAAUGGGGAAACCCAGUGUGUUUCGACACACUAUCAUUACGUGAAUACAUAGCGUAAUGAAGCGAACCGGGGGAACUGAAACAUCUAAGUACCCCGAGGAAAAGAAAUCAACCGAGAUUCCCCCAGUAGCGGCGAGCGAACGGGGAGCAGCCCAGAGUCUGAAUCAGCAUGUGUGUUAGUGGAAGCGUCUGGAAAGUCGCACGAUACAGGGUGAAAGUCCCGUACACAAAAGUGCAUGUGUUGUGAACUCGAAGAGUAGGGCGGGACACGUGGUAUCCUGUCUGAAUAUGGGGGGACCAUCCUCCAAGGCUAAAUACUCCUGACUGACCGAUAGUGAACCAGUACCGUGAGGGAAAGGCGAAAAGAACCCCGGCGAGGGGAGUGAAAAAGAACCUGAAACCGUGUACGUACAAGCAGUGGGAGCACCCUUUGGGGUGUGACUGCGUACCUUUUGUAUAAUGGGUCAGCGACUUAUAUUCUGUAGCAAGGUUAACCGAAUAGGGGAGCCGAAGGGAAACCGAGUCUUAACUGGGCGUUAAGUUGCAGGGUAUAGACCCGAAACCCGGUGAUCUAGCCAUGGGCAGGUUGAAGGUUGGGUAACACUAACUGGAGGACCGAACCGACUAAUGUUGAAAAAUUAGCGGAUGACUUGUGGCUGGGGGUGAAAGGCCAAUCAAACCGGGAGAUAGCUGGUUCUCCCCGAAAGCUAUUUAGGUAGCGCCUCGUGAAUUCAUCUUCGGGGGUAGAGCACUGUUUCGGCUAGGGGGUCAUCCCGACUUACCAACCCGAUGCAAACUGCGAAUACCGAAGAAUGUUAUCACGGGAGACACACGGCGGGUGCUAACGUCCGUCGUGAAGAGGGAAACAACCCAGACCGCCAGCUAAGGUCCCAAAGUCAUGGUUAAGUGGGAAACGAUGUGGGAAGGCACAGACAGCCAGGAUGUUGGCUUAGAAGCAGCCAUCAUUUAAAGAAAGCGUAAUAGCUCACUGGUCGAGUCGGCCUGCGCGGAAGAUGUAACGGGGCUAAACCAUGCACCGAAGCUGCGGCAGCGACACUAUGUGUUGUUGGGUAGGGGAGCGUUCUGUAAGCCGUUGAAGGUGUGCUGUGAGGCAUGCUGGAGGUAUCAGAAGUGCGAAUGCUGACAUAAGUAACGAUAAUGCGGGUGAAAAACCCGCACGCCGGAAGACCAAGGGUUCCUGUCCAACGUUAAUCGGGGCAGGGUGAGUCGACCCCUAAGGCGAGGCCGAAAGGCGUAGUCGAUGGGAAACAGGUUAAUAUUCCUGUACUUGGUGUUACUGCGAAGGGGGGACGGAGAAGGCUAUGUUAGCCGGGCGACGGUUGUCCCGGUUUAAGCAUGUAGGCGGAGGUUCCAGGUAAAUCCGGUACCUUAUUAACGCUGAGGUGUGAUGACGAGGCACUACGGUGCUGAAGUAACAAAUGCCCUGCUUCCAGGAAAAGCCUCUAAGCAUCAGGUAACACGAAAUCGUACCCCAAACCGACACAGGUGGUCAGGUAGAGAAUACCAAGGCGCUUGAGAGAACUCGGGUGAAGGAACUAGGCAAAAUGGUGCCGUAACUUCGGGAGAAGGCACGCUGAUAUGUAGGUGAAGUGAUUUACUCAUGGAGCUGAAAUCAGUCGAAGAUACCAGCUGGCUGCAACUGUUUAUUAAAAACACAGCACUGUGCAAACACGAAAGUGGACGUAUACGGUGUGACGCCUGCCCGGUGCCGGAAGGUUAAUUGAUGGGGUUAUCCGUAAGGAGAAGCUCUUGAUCGAAGCCCCGGUAAACGGCGGCCGUAACUAUAACGGUCCUAAGGUAGCGAAAUUCCUUGUCGGGUAAGUUCCGACCUGCACGAAUGGCGUAAUGAUGGCCAGGCUGUCUCCACCCGAGACUCAGUGAAAUUGAACUCGCUGUGAAGAUGCAGUGUACCCGCGGCAAGACGGAAAGACCCCGUGAACCUUUACUAUAGCUUGACACUGAACACUGGUCCUUGAUGUGUAGGAUAGGUGGGAGGCUUUGAAGUGUGGACGCCAGUCUGCAUGGAGCCGACCUUGAAAUACCACCCUUUAAUGUUUGAUGUUCUAACGUUGACCCGUAAUCCGGGUUGCGGACAGUGUCUGGUGGGUAGUUUGACUGGGGCGGUCUCCUCCUAAAGAGUAACGGAGGAGCACGAAGGUUAGCUAAUCCUGGUCGGACAUCAGGAGGUUAGUGCAAAGGCAUAAGCUAGCUUGACUGCGAGAGUGACGGCUCGAGCAGGUGCGAAAGCAGGUCUUAGUGAUCCGGUGGUUCUGAAUGGAAGGGCCAUCGCUCAACGGAUAAAAGGUACUCCGGGGAUAACAGGCUGAUACCGCCCAAGAGUUCAUAUCGACGGCGGUGUUUGGCACCUCGAUGUCGGCUCAUCACAUCCUGGGGCUGAAGUAGGUCCCAAGGGU